GUAUGGUUAUUCCACAGCAGUCUGAUGUUGGUUUCACAUGAUUUCAUCACUACUGUGGGUCAUGGUUUCAAAGCUGGUUGGGAACAUAUACAGCGGAACCGAAGCAGUGCUUAUCGGCUGGUCAAGACCCGUCUGUGACGGCCCCAAGAGGUCUUGGUGUUGGGCCUCUGUACUGUGUGCUGUCUGUGUUUCUUCCUGCAGGCAAUUAAGGAGAUUGGGAGCACCUUGCCAGUGAGCCCAACCUAUUUAGGCCUGCCUGCCCAGACGCCAGUGUCGAUGCUUGCGCCUGCCACACCGCUCUGCCACGCUAGCCUUUUGUUUUAAAUAAAUUUACGUUAAUCUUUGUAAA
This is a long non-coding RNA of Micropterus salmoides (largemouth bass), 349 nucleotides long. RefSeq lists it as uncharacterized. The transcript has 2 exons. Lineage: Eukaryota; Metazoa; Chordata; Actinopteri; Centrarchiformes; Centrarchidae. The record is from RefSeq and is a predicted model, not a curated record.